AUGUACAAAUACAUAUAAUACAAAAUAAUUGUUAGAUUUAGUAGAUUAUGUUAAAACGACAUGGACAUUAGGCCGAACUUCCGACGUAUUUUUUUU
Long non-coding RNA from Alosa sapidissima (American shad), 96 nucleotides. RefSeq lists it as uncharacterized. Lineage: Eukaryota; Metazoa; Chordata; Actinopteri; Clupeiformes; Clupeidae. The transcript is spliced from 3 exons. The record is from RefSeq and is a predicted model, not a curated record.